This 1248-nucleotide long non-coding RNA is filed under the name Astyanax mexicanus (Mexican tetra). RNAcentral describes it as "lncRNA (ENSAMXG00005019179.1)". The record is from RNAcentral. Lineage: Eukaryota; Metazoa; Chordata; Actinopteri; Characiformes; Acestrorhamphidae.
AUGUCUUCUCCCAAUCUAGCCCAGCAGAAUAUUAUCCAUGCUAAAAAGAGUGAGCCAGUAAGGAAGGCUAAUUGUCAAUUGUUGUUUAUUCAUUGUUUACUGAGGCUGGAAUGCUUAGCACACUGUGUUUUCCCAAAUGUCCCAAGUUGUGUGACUCAGAACUUUCUCCACUUUUUUUCAUCUGCUUCUUCAGCAGCCUUUACAAAAACCCACCCUUCCGUUCCAGCCCAUAACUCAUCCAUCCAUUCUUCCCCCCCUCCGUGUGUUUCAUCUGUUCAGGACAGUGCUAGCAGCGGAAACCCGCACAAAGUGAAGCCCUCUUAUCAGUUGUGCCGAGAUUGUCUACGUCUCCCAGGCGGGCGCCGCAGCGAGCGUCGCACCAAUCGUCUUAAUCUACUGCGUCACGCUGGCCUGUCCAGCAUCUCCAUCAGGAACCCUGGAGCCGGACACCUCGGCUGCAUGCCCAUUCGCUGCCAGCUGCCCUCUCCUGCCUCUAGGCACCAGCUGUGUAGCCCUUGCUGCAAAAGCCCCAUUCCUGCUGUGCUGGCCACAAGCACGGACACAUACCGCCAGCGAUCGGCCACCUCCCCUAUGAGCUGUGAAAUGCUUCCCUGUGACCGUCAGUGUCCUUUGGGCCCUCAGGAGACGGAUGAACUCCAAGAGAUGGAAGAAGAGGAUGUGUCAAAAGCAGCCUUUGCCGAUCCUGCCACAGAGCAGCUUACACUAGUGGACCUAAACCUGCAGAGUAAGAGGCCCACUGCAGAGCUUCACCAGGAGGCCCACCUACAAAAAGAAGCAAAGCCUGGACGCCAAAAACAAGAACAGCAGGAACUCAUGGACUUGGGUAUGGAUGAUGUCGCAACAGAGGACAUGGAGGUGGACUUGGGUGCAGUCCCAGGUACGAUGUCCUCUUCACUUCCGAACAAUCCCAGCGACCACCUCGCUUCCGUCUCCUCCUUGCAGCACUGGGCCAUGACACGCAGCUCAAGCAGUGACAGUGUGCAGCUAGUGCAGCUGGGCUUGGUCCACCAGAGGGCACAGGAGAUCGAAACACGCAUGCGAAUGGCUGGACUGACCACAUCUUCCAGGCUCCAGCGCUCUAACUCACUCGCUAAACUCGGGGGGCUGACCGUUUCCAAACACGACCUGUUGUUUUCCUCACAAACAGAGCCUGUGAUUAGUAAAACAUCUCCCAGCUCCCCUACAUAUGCUUUAACUGUGCCAUUGCUGCACACAUUCCCAGGAUAG